AGAGAAGAUCAGAUGAUCGCCGGCGGAUUUUUAUCUGCCGGAGGAAAGUCCGGGCUCCGCAGGGCAGGAUGGUCGCUAACGGCGACCGGGGGUGACCCCAGGGAAAGUGCCACAGAAAAUUACCGCCCGGGCGAAAGCCCGGGUAAGGGUGAAAAGGCGAGGUAAGAGCUCACCGCUUUUCCGGCGACGGAAAAGGCAAGGUAAACCCCAUCCGGAGCAAGACCAAAUAGGAGAACGUUUAAGGGCGGCCCGCCUGAUGUUCUCGGGUAGUGUCGCUAGAGGCGUGAGGCAACUUACGUCCCAGAUGAAUGAUCAUCACCGUUUGUCGGGUAACUGACGCGCGGGACAAAACCCGGCUUAUGCUCUUCUUUCCCG
This 375-nucleotide RNase P RNA is filed under the name Deltaproteobacteria bacterium HGW-Deltaproteobacteria-10. Its description in RNAcentral is "RNase P RNA component class A". It matches the Rfam family "Bacterial RNase P class A". Rfam says of the family: Ribonuclease P (RNase P) is a ubiquitous endoribonuclease, found in archaea, bacteria and eukarya as well as chloroplasts and mitochondria. Its best characterised activity is the generation of mature 5'-ends of tRNAs by cleaving the 5'-leader elements of precursor-tRNAs. The record is from RNAcentral. Lineage: Bacteria; Deltaproteobacteria.